Molecule: unclassified non-coding RNA, 336 nt
Filed under: Hevea brasiliensis (rubber tree)
Lineage: Eukaryota; Viridiplantae; Streptophyta; Magnoliopsida; Malpighiales; Euphorbiaceae
Source: RNAcentral
UUCCCUAUAUUUGCAACUAUUUUCCUGUCAGCCCUUUCUAAGCAUUUAUACGAGGUCCUCAUUUCUGGAGGGUCAAUCCAAACGUGGAGAAAUGAACAGAGAUUGUGGAUGAUGAAGUCAAUUUCAAGUCACGUAUAUGGAAGUUUGGAUGCGAUUAUGAAAAGGCUAGGUGUGAGGGAAGCAAGUUUCUUGCUUACCAAUAAGGUUGAAGAUGAUGAAAAAUCUAAGCUCUACCAAAUGGGAAAACUUGAUUUCCAAACAUCAACUAGGCUACUUGUUCCAGUGGUCACAGUGGCAAUCUUGAACGUGGUAUCGUUUCUUGUGGGAGUUGUAAGA